ACGGUUUGCAGAACAGACCUUAGUAAAGCAGUUUUAGUUAAGUAGCCUCAGUUCCAGAGUUAUCAUCUGAUUACCCUUCGUCGUGAGUCUCCUCCUUCAAUGCCUUAGUAAGCUUUUCUAUCCGAGCAGGCCUCUUUCGUCGCCUUGUGUGACUCACAAAAUUUAGAAGGUAAAAAUAAUGUCUAAUAAAAUGACUGGUUCUGUAAAAUGGUUCAACGCCGAUAAAGGCUUCGGUUUUAUCUCUCCUGCUGAUGGCAGCAAGGACGUUUUCGUUCACUUCUCUGCGAUCCAAAGCAAUGAAUUCCGUACUCUGGAUGAAGGUCAAAAGGUUGAGUUCUCUGUAGAGAAUAGCCCUAAAGGCCCUUCCGCAGUAAACGUAGUCGCUAUCAACUAAUCUUAUAGAC
Molecule: small RNA, 404 nt
Filed under: Edwardsiella tarda
Lineage: Bacteria; Pseudomonadati; Pseudomonadota; Gammaproteobacteria; Enterobacterales; Hafniaceae
Description: cspA thermoregulator
Rfam family: cspA thermoregulator
Source: RNAcentral